GAUGAACGCUAGCGGCAGGCCUAACACAUGCAAGUCGAGGGGUAACUAGAGUGAUAGCAAUCUUACUUUGGCUAGACCGGCGCACGGGUGCGUAACACGUAUGCAACCUACCUUAUACUGGGGAAUAACUUCGAGAAAUCGGCGCUAAUACCCCAUAACACUGCGGAGAGGCAUCUCUCUGCAGUUAAACCCCCGGCCGCAUCAGCUGGGCAUGCGUCCAAUUAGCCAGCUGGUGAGGGAACGGCCAACCAAGGCUACGAUUGGUAGGGGUUCUGAGAGGAUGAUCCCCCACACUGGUACUGAGACACGGACCAGACUCCUACGGGAGGCAGCAGUGAGGAAUAUUGCGCAAUGGACGAAAGUCUGACGCAGCCAUGCCGCGUGCAGGAUGACGGCCCUAUGGGUUGUAAACUGCUUUUGUACGGGAAUAAACCCUUCUACGUGUAGGAGGCUGAAGGUACCGUAAGAAUAAGCACCGGCUAACUCCGUGCCAGCAGCCGCCGUAA
RNAcentral lists this ribosomal RNA (506 nucleotides) under uncultured bacterium. Its description in RNAcentral is "partial 16S ribosomal RNA". It matches the Rfam family "Bacterial small subunit ribosomal RNA", at positions 28 to 523 of the family's 1533-position model. The record is from RNAcentral.